This is a non-coding RNA of Macaca mulatta (Rhesus monkey), 3052 nucleotides long. The record is from RefSeq and is a predicted model, not a curated record. Lineage: Eukaryota; Metazoa; Chordata; Mammalia; Primates; Cercopithecidae.
AAGACAAAAAGAAAAGCAAAAGAAAGGAGUCAGGGAAGAGAGGAAAAGGGGCCCAGGAAAAAAGAAGGAAAGCGCCCUAUCAAGGGGAAGGGGCAGAGCAGAUGGAGAUGCAGUGGGAAUUCAGCCACCACCUAUUUUCUGCCACUUGAACAAGCCUCUCCAACUCUGGAUGCUGAUCUCUAACCAGCAUCCAGUCUCCUGGCCCGUUUCCCUUUGUUCUGCCUUCUUCCCAUCACUCCACCGCAGUGAGAUCUUUGGAUCUAACACACCAAGCAAGGGAGUAAGUGAGCAAGGGUGGCUGCUGGUUCUACUCAAAUCAGGGAGAGCCAGGAGCAGAGGGGAAGCACAUCCUCAAAUGGUACUUCCCCAAAUGUGGAGAGCCAAUGGUGCCUGCUCCGAUCCCAGCAUUAUUUAUACACCACUGCUUUGCUCCCCUUGUGGGAUUUUGUUCUGACAAGGGAUAUAAUUAGCCAGCUUUCUUUGGAAGAGCCCUGACCUGCUGGCCAUGAAACCCAGAAGGGGACAGAAGUGUGACGUUAAUGAUCUCCUGCAGCUAAAAGGCAUAAAGCUGACCAGAAUGCUUUGGAGGCCUCCUGGGGUUUGAGGCCAGUUGGAGGAUGUCAGCACAGUAAAUGGGGAAGGGAGGUCAGAAGCGCUUUCAGGGUGGGUAUACUAAGAUACCAGUCCCGUAUUUGCAAUGCUUAACUACCGAGAGUAGGCAAGAUAGGAAAUUAAAAUGAACACCUGGCAAGAAUCUGCCUAACGUCUGUCAUCCAAGAAUGGAACAAAUGCCUUCCUCCAUGGAAUACAAUGGCUGAAUGGGAUAAAAGCUAAAAACAGAUAGGCAGCCCAAGUUCAACUGCCUCCCCCACACCACCCCAACGCCUUCUCCCCUUAUGAAUUCCACUUGUCCAUUACAGACACCUUAUGAGUUCUUUCAUUUGUUUUUUUCUAGCUAAGUAUUAGUCAUCAGAGAUAUGAGGAGGACAAGCACACACUUCCUGACUAUGAGAAGCUCAUCAUUCAGCUGUGGCAAGGGACAGAGAGAGGGGAGUUCCUACAUGUGGGCCCAGGGCAGGAGCUCACUCAAAGCUUGAAGAGCGAAUGAGUGAGCCAAGGAACCAGCCAAGGAACACAGGCUUUUCAGGCCACAACAGACAUUAACAAAAUUAUCUUAUCCGAUCUCAGCCUCUAUUUAAUCAGAAAGGGUUAAGUACCAAGUACUCUUAUACCUUUAUCUCAGUCUCACAGAAAUUAAAGUUGCCCAUUCUUUGUCCCAACUACCGCAGGUCAGUUUCCUUCCUCUAAACACUUUCAGUACAUUAAUCCAACCAGAAUUUACUCCAUGCUUGCUGUCUGCCAGGCACCACGGAGGGUCAGAGAAUCUGGGGGUAAGACUGAUUUCCCACCCAUGGUGGAGCUUACGAUUCAGUUAAACGCAGCAGAGAUUGAAUAAAUAAAUACCAACAAGGGUGUAAUUGUAGAUUACGAAGACUAUUAUAAGGAAAAGGACAAAGAGUCUGAGAAAGAAAUAUAGAUGUUGACCUAAUUUAGAUGACAAUGAGGUGGGCAGGCGACAGUGAUCAGCUCAAAAAGAAGUACCCUAAAGAAAGAGAAGAAACUUACUUAGUAAAAGAAGGGUUUGGGGCAGAGCAUACCAGGGAGAGGGAACCACAUGUGUAAAGGCCCUGAGGCAGAAAAUAACUUGGCUUUGGAACAUUCACUUCACAAAUAUUUAUUGGGUGCCACUACAUGCCAGGAAAGCUGAUUCGCACUAGGAAUACUGCAAUGAGUAAGUAUAAAUCAUUAACCUCAUGGAGCUUACAUUCAAGUACAUUUUAACAUAUUCUAAUAUGCUCUAAGAGGUACUGAAAAUUUAGCACAUGCCACAUCCUGGGUUACUGCAUUAUUUAUUCUUUUAAUGUUCCUAUACUUAUUUCCCCCCCAAUCAAAUUGUAAUGGUGCUAAUACUAGUAGCAUUAACAACUACAAUUUAUUAAGUACUUACUAUGUCCCAGGCACUAAGCUAAAGUGCUUGAUAUGUAUCAUUAAAUUUAAUCCUUAUCAAAAACCUAUGAGGAAAUUACAGCUAAUAGUCUCAAUUUCACAUGACAAAACUGAGGCACAGAGUGAAAAGAAAAUUUCCCAAGAUCACACAGUGAGGAAGUAGAGAUGCAGGGAUUUCAGGGAGUCUAACUGCAAAGCUCACAUUUUAACCACCAUGCCACACUGCCCUCCCUGAGGAUAAGUCCAGGUAUACGAUACAUUUGUGUAUACUCAGUAGCACCUAAUAUCUAUACCCAGAAGAUUCUCCUUCCAUACGGGCAGACUCCCCAACCCCAGAGCUUCUAGAGCAGCUCUAGCCUAGUCUCUGGGUGGGACCCAUACAACUCCAAUUCCAUCAGUGGCAGGGAGAGCGCACAUGCCCCUGGCCUGGGAAUGUGGCUUGACUUUCUCUCUCUGGAAAGAACAAUCAUCCAGUCAUCACAUCCCCCUAGCUAGGUCCAGGGUGGUCACCUUCCCAGCUCCACUCUGAAUCCUUCAUGAUCUAUGUGCCAGACUAUAAGGUGGCACCCCUUAGGAUUGAAAAUGAGGAAGUCGCAGCCUCUCUGUUCCCAGAGCUCACAACAGCGGGGCCAGCCAGCAGGACAUCCACAUUGGGAUGUACGAAGAGUUCUAUCCUGCCUUCCCCUCCGUGCCUCUGCCAGUUGUUCCCAUCUCAAUGGACCUCCUUUCUGAAGGGUUAUCUUCUGCCUGUUCUUGGAAGUCGAUAUAGUCAUUUGAUAUCCAUGUGGGAAGGUGAGGAAAGAAGCCAUGCACAAAGAACUUCAGAAGUGAGGCCGAUCUUCUGAGAGCAAGAGAUUUCACAGGCAUUGAAAAUGAGAGAAAAUCUUGAUGUGUGCAUCUUUGCUCCUCAGCACCUGGGACGGUGACUUCCACAGAACUGAGAGAAAAUACUGAAUGCACAGAUGAAUAUGUGAGGGAGUCGCCUGUGUUUGUUAAAACCCUUUGCCACCAACAUCUGUCCUCAAAAUAAAAUACUGCCAAAUAA